Molecule: ribosomal RNA, 392 nt
Filed under: uncultured bacterium
Lineage: Bacteria
Description: partial 16S ribosomal RNA
Rfam family: Bacterial small subunit ribosomal RNA
Source: RNAcentral
AUACGGAGGAUGCGAGCGUUAUCCGGAUUUAUUGGGUUUAAAGGGUGCGCAGGCGGCCAUUUAAGUCAGCGGUUAAAUCGUGGGGCUCAACCCCAUUCUGCCGUUGAUACUGGGUGGCUUGAUUGCGGUCGAGGUUGGCGGAAUUCGUUGUGUCGCGGUGAAAUGCAGAGAUAUGAUGAAGAACACCGAUUGCGUAGGCAGCACGCCAGACCCGUAAUGACGCUCAUGCACGAAAGUGCGGGGAACGAACAGGAUUAGAUGCCCGGGUAGUCUGCACAAUAAACGAUAAAUACUGGAUUUCGGCGACGUAAUGGCGGCGCCUAAGCGAAAGCAAUUAGGGUCCCGGCUUGGGAGUGCGGCGUCAACGGUGAAACUCAAAAGAAUUGUCGGGG